CCUGGCAGGGCUGCCGCAGGAGACGCACAGCGUAGUUGUGAGGGACAUUGCUGAUGUCCAUCCCGUUGACCUGGGGGCAGGUGGAACAAUCGUGCGGUCAGCUCCACCUGCCACAACCCUUCCUGAAAGAUCCAGGCCCACAGAAAAGCCAGGAUCCUGUCUUUAAAGACUGCUCUGCUCUCCCACCUCAUCCUGUGUCCAAUAACCGCACCUUCCAACAGCGUUUCUAACCCUGUUCUCUCCAAGCGUGGCCUGCAGCACCUCUCCAGGCCUCUGUGCUGACAGCUGCCUCACCUUAAGAGUCUCCUUUCGUUAUGGCAUCUGGAAAGAUCUCACAUGGCAGGCCUGCUUCUAGUUCCUUCUUCCUAGUGUGUCUGAGGAAAUCCAAUCUCUCCCACUCCAGCCCGCCUACUCAUUGAACAUGGCUGCUAUCUCUGUCUUCUGGAAACACGGCUCCAAUCCUGCAACAACUCUAUACAAGAGCUCCCAGUGAAAGCUUUCACUAGACCUUGAUGGCACUAUGGUCAUUAUCUUGUCAAAACUGUGGUGGAUUUGAAGAGCUAGUGAUGAAGAAUGGAGGUUUCCUGUCCUAGAAAUAACCAAAGGCCCAGGCUUGGAGGUGGCAGAAAAAGUGGCACUUAAGGAACAUGGACGGAGCUGGAGGCUACUAUCCUUAGCAAACUAAUGCAGGAACAGAAAACCAAAUGCUGCAUAUCUAAGUGGGAGCUGAAUGUUACUAGCCCAGUAUUUGGAAUUUGCCAAAGCUAUAUUCCUCAGAAUUUACUUCAAGAGCUCCUUUGUAUCGGCGGAGAAUGAAGAACGGAGAAGAGGAGGAGGAGGUUGAAAGAAACUUAAGAGAUGUGGCAACUAAUUGCAACGUGUAGAUUGUAUUUAGCUCAUGAUUCACACAAACUAGAUAUUUGUUAUUAAAGAAUUAUGGUUGUUUUUGGUGUGAUAUUAGUAUUGUGCUCACAUUUCUUAAGAAUCUAUCUUUAGAGAUAGGUGCUGAAAUUCUUGCAGAUGAAAUGACAUUAUCAUCUGAGAUGUGCUUCAAAAACAGUUAAAGGAG
RNAcentral lists this long non-coding RNA (1069 nucleotides) under Homo sapiens (human). RNAcentral describes it as "HSALNT0319630". Lineage: Eukaryota; Metazoa; Chordata; Mammalia; Primates; Hominidae. The record is from RNAcentral.